RNAcentral lists this long non-coding RNA (393 nucleotides) under Nicotiana benthamiana. RNAcentral's name for it is "long non-coding RNA (NBEN_LNC033419)". Lineage: Eukaryota; Viridiplantae; Streptophyta; Magnoliopsida; Solanales; Solanaceae. The record is from RNAcentral.
CCUAUUUGAGGGGUGUCAUACCGGGUAUUGCAUUGAUGUGAUCCCUAUUAUAAAUAAACCUAGGACACUCCAUUUACAUUCACAAAUAUGCUUAGAUUGUAAUUGUUUUUAAAAUCUAGUUUUUUCCUUAGUUGGUUUCUUACACCUGUGUAUUUAAACUUAAAUUCCCUACUAUUUAAUCCUUACUUGUGUAUUUGCUAAUUGUACAAAUUCACAAAAUUUUUUUGGCCAGAAACCACACUAGUGUAUCCUGAGGGGUGCCUAACACCUUCCCUUUAGGAUAAUUUCAAACCCUUACCCUGUCUCUGGUUACCAAACAUAGUUAUAAACAAAUCCUAUAGGUGCCCUAACGCACCUUAAAUUGCUAUGUGGUGACUCUUCAAAAAAGGCAAA